GUUUCUGGUACUUGGACCUCCUUCUAGAAGCUCUAAUCUCAUGCCAACAACAUUUCCAAGCCGAGGAUUCCGACGUCUUCGUCACCUCCACUCCCAAAUGCGGCACCACGUGGCUGAAGGCCAUCGCCUUCGCCCUACUUAACCGGAGGCGGCACCCUGCCACCUCCGGAGACCACCCCCUCAUCUCCAGCAACCCUCACGACCUCGUGCCCUUCCUCGAGAUGGGCCUUUACGGCAGCAGCAAAGCCCUCGACAUCGCCUCGUUCCCCUCCCCGCGCCUCCUCGCCACCCACGUGCCGUAUUCCUCUCUCCCGGAGUCGAUCAGGAGCAGCGGCUCCAAGUGCAAGAUCCUGUACGUGGCGAGGGACCUGAAGGACGCCUUGGUGUCGGAGUGGCACUUCUUGGCUAGUUCCGGCCGGGUGCCGGAGUUGACGAUGGCGGAGACGUUCAAGGAAUUUUGCGAGGGAUUGAACAUCUAUGGGCCAUUUUGGGAUCAUGUUCUUGGAUACUGGAAGCAGAGCUUGGAAAACCCUGAUAGGGUUUUGUUCCUCAAGUACGAGGAUAUGAAGGCCAGGCCAGCCGCGGAGGUGCGCCGCGUGGCGGAGUUCCUCGGCUGCCCCUUCUCCGCGGAGGAGGAGGAAGCUGGGGAGGUUGAUCGGAUCGUGGAACUGUGUAGCUUUGAAGGUCUCAGUGGAUUGGAAGUGAACAAGAAGGGGAAACAAGAGGUGACUGGUGUGGCCAUUGUGGAUAACAGCUCUCUCUUUCGUCGAGGAGAGGUGGGGGAUUGGAAAAAUCAUUUAUCGCCGGAGAUGGCGAAGAGGAUUGAUCGGAUUGUUGAAGAGAAGUUUUCUGCGUCGGGAUUAUUUCUAUGAAUAUAAUUCUCCAUUACAUUUCUGGUUUAAACCACGAAUCACAACUUAAUCAUGCAAAACAACGAUGAUCAAUCCCAAUCCCACAUGUAUCCAAUACAUAUUAAAUAAUUUAUAAUUAGUCAAAUGUGAUAAUUUUAUUUUAAGGGUUAUUACCGUCUAAAUGCGCCAACUUAGUUUCUUUCAGUUUCAAAUAUCAACAUAACUUUUUGAUUUUUUUUUAUUAAAAUACCUAAACUGUAAUACUUACUCACUUUUUGAAAUUGACCCACAUUUCUUCUAAAUUGAAUCUGAGGUGACAUAUCUGAAAAAUAAUUAAGACUGGGUUGGUAAUCGAUCCAGUUCGAUUUUAAUCGAACCGAUUUUUUGGUUAAUCGGAACCGAAUAAGGGCAAUUUCACCUCUAAUGGACCAGAUUUUAACCAAUUAACCGAAUCGGUUAGCCGAUUAACAGGAAAUAACCGAUUUGUUUAAUACUGAUUUGUAAAACAAAGUAAUUAUUUUCCAAACAGUAAAAUAAUGUGUUGUUGAUCUACUCUAUAACAAUGUCCUCCUGUCCCCAACGGAAUCAAUGGCUCCAGCUGUGUUCUUGGAUCCAUUGUAAAAUUUCUUAAGAAAUUAUAGAGAUUGGAAAUUCAGAGUCAUGGUGAGAAUGCUGGUGAUAACACUGUUAACUUGAUCUAAGCAUAUGUUGUACGGAUUCAUUCUCAAGGUGUUUAAGUUUUAAUUUGUGGUUCUAUAAGAAAACCGAUCAACUGAAUUCUGGAGAAUUCGAUAACCGAACCGGUGAAAAUCGUUAUAGGUUAACCGAUUAACAGAAAAUUCGGUUCGGUUACGGUUAUAACAAAUUAACCGAACCCGUUUUACCACUCCUAAUUUAGACUCAUCGGCGAUAUACUUCAAUACGACGUUAUACUGAGUAUUUGUUCUCCAUGAGUCCUAAUCAUCUUUCAUAUAUAUGCCAUAUUUGAUUCAAUUCAGAGGAAAUUGGGAUCUGUGUUAAAAAUGAAGUAAGUAUUAAAAUUAAUAUAUUUAAAUAAAAAAUUAAAACUUUAUGUUAAAAUUUAAAAUUGGAGGAAUGUUUGUGUAAUUAAACAAUAAUAAUUCUUAGUUUAAUUAUUAGGGUUUAUAAAUUUACAAUUAGAUUUUUUAUUUUUUAUUAACUUAAUUUUUUUAAAAAUAAAAGUUAAAUAUAUUUUUAAUAGGAUAGACAUACAAAAAAUUAUAAUAUACCAGAUCCGCACAUUUAAUGAGUGCUAAUACAAAGUCAUAAUUCCAUGUUCAUCCCACAUGCAUCGCCAUGUGGUUAUCACUUCAGCUUGGAUUUAGGCUAUUAUUUUAGUUAGUCGUGACAAAUUUACGAAAAAAGAAAAAGAAGUGAAGUUUGUGUAUCAAGAGAAAAUAUUUUAAUGUCACGUACACAACCAAAAAUGCUAUUCCCGCCGUCUGCGAUAUCGUUUUCACUUUCAUUUAUAGAAGUAGGGUCCACAAACUUUCACUCACAACAAUAGUGGGACCCAAACUCCACUCACUACAUAUCCACUACUAUUCACCACUUUUCUUAAAACCCGUGCCGUCCACAAUGUGGAAACAAAUUGCGGACGGAGGAGUAAAAAUUCAUGUAUUUGAAGCACGUACUGGNNNNNNNNNNNNNNNNNNNNNNNNNNNNNNNNNNNNNNNNNNNNNAUAUAUAUAUAUAUAUAUUAUAUAUAUAUAUAUAUAGGGAGAGGUUCAAGAAAGAACCAUAAAUAAAAGAAGAACGGAGAACCAUUUGCAGCCAUUCGAUCAUCAAGAUCUACGGUGGAUGCAUCAUCUUAUUGGAUGAAUGCAGAUCUUGGAUUCGAAUCCUGAAGGGGGUAUUUUUUUUUAUUCUUUAGAGUGCAUUAAUUUUAACAGCGAAUGCAUUAAUUUUUACAGUGGAUGCAUUAAAUUUGAUGAUUCUCACGUUCUCACAACUAAUAUAGUUCUCUCUAGAACCCACACCCCUAUAUAUAUAUAUAUAUAUAUAUAUAUAUAUAUAUAUAUAUAUAUGUUUUUUAACCUUAAAAUUCAUAUUUAAAAAAGAAAAGGUUGUAGAACAAUUCUAGCAAAAAAAAACUUCAACUCCAUUCAUGCCAUUUUUUUACUAGUAUAAAAAUUAAACAAAAUACUUUUAUUUUAUUUUUUAUUUGUACUUCUUUUGCAAAAUAGAAAGGUGAGAAUCUUUAGUGAAAAUAAAUUAUUAUUUUCUCAUCGUCGAACACAAAUCAUUCUUAUUACCUACCGACUAUCGUUCAACCUAUUUCAUGUAUGUCCGUCUUAAUUUGUCUCGAAUUCUUCCGUUUGAAUUCAAGUGUAAGGGAUGACAAUAGACUGAAUCUAGAUCAGAUUUUUCUAGGUCAAAAUCAAGAUACAAAUUCAAGUUUUUUAAUUUAGGUCUGGAUCUAAUUCAGAUCUUAAAGAUCUACAUGAUCUCAGAUCCAGAUUCAUAUUUAUAUUUUUUCUUUUGAAAAUAAAGUUUAAAUAAAAAAAAUCAUUAUGACAUCAUAAUAUUAAUUGUUUAAAAUUUAUACAGUCAUUCAAAAAUAACUUUAUUACACUCCAAUUCAUUAAAAAGCAUUACAAUAAUCCAAAAAAGUCAUAAUAAUAUCAUCAAAAUACAAAAUCAUCCAAAACCAAUACGAAACAUUUCAAGUUCAACAAUAUAUGUACUUGUCAAGGUUGAAAUAAGGCUGUGAAACAAGGGAAUAAAGAUUUUUUUUACUAUGAAAAAUUAAUGCUACGGUUAUAACAUAAAAAUAAAAAUAAAAUAAUAUUUCCCUCUGUCCCAUUAGUAAUGUCUCAGUUAGUAUAUUAAGACGUCCCACCAGUAAAGUCUCAUACCUUUUUUAAUAAAAGAUUAACUAUUUAAAAUAUUAUUAAUGAUAGGUCAAACUCAUUUUAUACACUAAUUAUACUUUUUCUUAAUUUUCGUAUUAAAAAAUAAUGAGACAUUACUAAUGAGGUGGAUGAGUAUAAAUUAAAUGGAUCUUUAGAGCACUCCCAACAGAAAUCCCAAAAUUAUGCUCCUAUAUUUCUCCCCUCCCUAAAGCUUCCCUAUUUAAUUUUAGGAUCUCGAUUUUAUAAAUGCAUGCACCAGAUCUCCUAUUUUCUACAUAAAAAUAAUAAUUAUGUGUGGGCCCUACUAAUUAUAAGUUUAAAAUAAAUUUAGGGUGAGUGCAAAUUUAAGAUUGAAUUUAGGUAUAUAGGUGUAAAAAAAUUUGUGGGCCCCAUCCAAUUUAGGGGAUCUGCUGGAUGCAUUUUUUAUCUCAUUUUUAAUUGUUUUAGCCUAAAUUUAGAUUUAGUGAUGCAUUUAAGUGAUCUGCUGGUAGUGCUCUUAGACCGGAUUUGAAUCUCAAAAAUAUGAGCUAGUGUUAGCCCAGAUCCUUUGGGUCCUAUAGUGUAAGAUCUCUAUAUCCAAAAAUUGGAUCUGAAUCAACUGAUCUGAACCAUAUAUCCAAGAUCUACCCCUUCUAAUAUUAAAUUUUUUUACAUAUAUUUUAAUAUAAUUAUUUAUGGCACCCGAAAUAUAAAAUUCUAACUUCAUGUGAUAUCUUUUUCUGACUCAACUUACCCCAAUUAUAUAUAUAGACCUCAUGCAUACAAACCUAAACACCACACAUAAACCCCACCCAAAUCUACGCGAUACACAAAAAUGUCAGCAUCUUCAAAUUUCUUCCGAUCGCCACAACUAUCUCAAGACUUCAAAGAGUUCCUCUCCACUCUCCCCAGAGAAAAAGGAAAAGACUCUCUCUACCGCUAUCAUUAUCAAGGUUUCUGGUACUUGGACCUCCUUCUAGAAGCUCUAAUCUCAUGCCAACAACAUUUCCAAGCCGAGGAUUCCGACGUCUUCGUCACCUCCACUCCCAAAUGCGGCACCACGUGGCUGAAGGCCAUCGCCUUCGCCCUACUUAACCGGAGGCGGCACCCUGCCACCUCCGGAGACCACCCCCUCAUCUCCAGCAACCCUCACGACCUCGUGCCCUUCCUCGAGAUGGGCCUCUACGGCAGCAGCAAAGCCCUCGACAUCGCCUCGUUCCCCUCCCC
This 4933-nucleotide long non-coding RNA is filed under the name Salvia miltiorrhiza (redroot sage). RNAcentral's name for it is "long non-coding RNA (SMIL_LNC001522)". Lineage: Eukaryota; Viridiplantae; Streptophyta; Magnoliopsida; Lamiales; Lamiaceae. The record is from RNAcentral.